GUAAGCCUGCGAAGGUGGCCUGUGAGGGUUGCUGGAGGUAUCAGAAGUGCGAAUGCUGACAUAAGUAACGAUAAAGCGGGUGAAAAGCCCGCUCGCCGGAAGACCAAGGGUUCCUGUCCAACGUUAAUCGGGGCAGGGUGAGUCGACCCCUAAGGCGAGGCCGAAAGGCGUAGUCGAUGGGAAACGGGUUAAUAUUCCCGUACUUGGUGUUACUGCGAAGGGGGGACGGAGAAGGCUAUGUUGGCCGGGCGACGGUUGUCCCGGUUUAAGCGUGUAGGUGUGUGUUCCAGGUAAAUCCGGUUCACUUUAACACUGAGGCGUGACGACGAGGCACUACGGUGCUGAAGCAACAAAUGCCCUGCUUCCAGGAAAAGCCUCUAAGCAUCAGGUAACAUCAAAUCGUACCCCAAACCGACACAGGUGGUCAGGUAGAGAAUACCAAGGCGCUUGAGAGAACUCGGGUGAAGGAACUAGGCAAAAUGGUGCCGUAACUUCGGGAGAAGGCACGCUGACACGUAGGUGAAGUGAUUUACUCAUGGAGCUGAAGUCAGUCGAAGAUACCAGCUGGCUGCAACUGUUUAUUAAAAACACAGCACUGUGCAAACACGAAAGUGGACGUAUACGGUGUGACGCCUGCCCGGUGCCGGAAGGUUAAUUGAUGGGGUCAGCGCAAGCGAAGCUCCUGAUCGAAGCCCCGGUAAACGGCGGCCGUAACUAUAACGGUCCUAAGGUAGCGAAAUUCCUUGUCGGGUAAGUUCCGACCUGCACGAAUGGCGUAAUGAUGGCCAGGCUGUCUCCACCCGAGACUCAGUGAAAUUGAACUCGCUGUGAAGAUGCAGUGUACCCGCGGCAAGACGGAAAGACCCCGUGAACCUUUACUAUAGCUUGACACUGAACAUUGAGCCUUGAUGUGUAGGAUAGGUGGGAGGCUUUGAAGUGUGGACGCCAGUCUGCAUGGAGCCGACCUUGAAAUACCACCCUUUAAUGUUUGAUGUUCUAACGUGGACCCGUUACCCGGGUUGCGGACAGUGUCUGGUGGGUAGUUUGACUGGGGCGGUCUCCUCCUAAAGAGUAACGGAGGAGCACGAAGGUUGGCUAAUCCUGGUCGGACAUCAGGAGGUUAGUGCAAUGGCAUAAGCCAGCUUGACUGCGAGCGUGACGGCGCGAGCAGGUGCGAAAGCAGGUCAUAGUGAUCCGGUGGUUCUGAAUGGAAGGGCCAUCGCUCAACGGAUAAAAGGUACUCCGGGGAUAACAGGCUGAUACCGCCCAAGAGUUCAUAUCGACGGCGGUGUUUGGCACCUCGAUGUCGGCUCAUCACAUCCUGGGGCUGAAGUAGGUCCCAAGGGUAUGGCUGUUCGCCAUUUAAAGUGGUACGCGAGCUGGGUUUAGAACGUCGUGAGACAGUUCGGUCCCUAUCUGCCGUGGGCGCUGGAGAACUGAGGGGGGCUGCUCCUAGUACGAGAGGACCGGAGUGGACGCAUCACUGGUGUUCGGGUUGUCAUGCCAAUGGCACUGCCCGGUAGCUAAAUGCGGAAGAGAUAAGUGCUGAAAGCAUCUAAGCACGAAACUUGCCCCGAG
This 1578-nucleotide ribosomal RNA is filed under the name Salmonella enterica subsp. enterica serovar Enteritidis. RNAcentral describes it as "partial 23S ribosomal RNA". It matches the Rfam family "Bacterial large subunit ribosomal RNA", at positions 1243 to 2803 of the family's 2925-position model. Lineage: Bacteria; Pseudomonadati; Pseudomonadota; Gammaproteobacteria; Enterobacterales; Enterobacteriaceae. The record is from RNAcentral.